GACGAACGCUGGCGGCGUGCUUAACACAUGCAAGUCGAGCGGUAAGGCCCUUUCGGGGUACGACGAGCGGCGAACGGGUAGAGUAACACGUGGGUGACCUGCCCUCAGCUCUGGGAGUAAGCCCGGGAAACCGUAGGGUCGUAAUACCGGAUAUGACUCCAUGACGCAUGUUGUGGGGUGGAAAGCCUUGUGCGGCUGAGGAUGGGCCCGCGGCCUAUCAGCUCGUUGGUGGGGUGAUGGCCUACCAAGGCGACGACGGGUAGCCGGCCUGAGAGGGCGACCGGCCACACUGGGACUGAGACACGGCCCAGACUCCUACGGGAGGCAGCAGUGGGGAAUCUUGCGCAAUGGGCGAAAGCCUGACGCAGCGACGCCGCGUGAGGAUGACGGCCU
This 393-nucleotide ribosomal RNA is filed under the name uncultured bacterium. RNAcentral describes it as "bacterial SSU rRNA". It matches the Rfam family "Bacterial small subunit ribosomal RNA", at positions 28 to 417 of the family's 1533-position model. The record is from RNAcentral.